Molecule: long non-coding RNA, 209 nt
Filed under: Erythranthe guttata (spotted monkey flower)
Lineage: Eukaryota; Viridiplantae; Streptophyta; Magnoliopsida; Lamiales; Phrymaceae
Description: long non-coding RNA (EGUT_LNC002848)
Source: RNAcentral
UUUUCAGCUUCCAACAGUAGUUGGGGAAGGCCUGUAUACAUUGAUCUUGCAACUAUUAAUGAUCCUAACAAAGGAUUCAUUGUCAAAGAUUGUUGUCUUCUAAAUAUAGAAAUCAACGUCAAAGCUGUUGCGCGAGUAUCUUAAUUAGUUACCUAUUAAAAAGUUGGAUUAGACGAUUUUGUUGUGCGUAUCAAACACAACUUUAUAUU